CCCUUAGAUGUUCUGGGCUGCACGCGCGCUACACUGAUGCGUUCAACAAGUCGGACCUCGUCCGAGAGGAAAUCGGGGGAAUCUUUUGAAAACGUAUCGUGAUGGGGAUAGAUUAUUGUAAUUAUUAAUCUUCAACGAGGAAUUCCUAGUAAGCAUGAAUCAUCAGCUCGUGCUGAUUACGUCCCUGCCCUUUGUACACACCGCCCGUCGCUACUACUGAUUGGACCUUUAAGCAAGAUUUUUAAACACUGACAGUUAAUGGCUUCGGCCAAGACACAGUGAGAAGAAGAAGAUCGAGCUUACUUGUCUAGAGGAAGUAAAAGUCGUAACA
RNAcentral lists this ribosomal RNA (331 nucleotides) under uncultured eukaryote. RNAcentral describes it as "partial 18S ribosomal RNA". It matches the Rfam family "Eukaryotic small subunit ribosomal RNA", at positions 1470 to 1796 of the family's 1831-position model. The record is from RNAcentral.